This 1286-nucleotide long non-coding RNA is filed under the name Mus musculus (house mouse). RNAcentral's name for it is "predicted gene 4151, transcript variant 2 (Gm4151)". The record is from RNAcentral. Lineage: Eukaryota; Metazoa; Chordata; Mammalia; Rodentia; Muridae.
GACCGGGAAUGAAGCCCACUCGGGGCUGAGCGGGCCCUGUGCAGUGUACUUGACUUCAUUUCUUAGAUUCAGCAAGGUCACCGUGAGGCAGGAGAGCAUGUGAGUUGGAGCAGAGUAGAGGAAGAAUCCCAUGGCUCUGAGUUGGCCUUCAUCUGGAAGCCACCGAGUCUCCAGUUCUUACUUGAUCUCUCAAAAGAAAUAACAAGUGUGCUCCAGGCAGGUCCAGCCUGCCAAACAGAAGCUGAGGACAGCAGUGAGUGUAGCCCGACACAAAAUGGCUCCAGCUUUCCACAGCCAGGCUGUCCUUAGGAGCCACCACGUCCCCGGAGGCACGAAGGCCCACGACCGUCACUUCCUCCCCAAGGCCUGGUCUCUUGUGCCUGGUGAGUGACAGCAAGACAUUUAGUCAUCCGGGGUCUCCGUUUUCCUUUUUCUGUAAAAGGGGCUGAGCGUCCCUCAGGUUUAUGGAGAGUUUUGAAGGAACAAGGCAGAUACGUUGCUCAGCGAUGUCUGACCUGGAGCACACACUCCAGCCAAGUCACCCAUGAUGGUCUUCGUAAUCGCCAUGACCGGGCGCUCUGUCAGAGGCCACUCUCCGAAUGGUGCAUCCUCUGCAACUUUCCCCUCUCUGGCUCUGCUGCGUCUCCCCAGGGCUCCAACAACCCUGUCACUGAAAUCAGGUGGAGACCGAGUCCCAUUUUACUAAAACCAUGAGAAUAUGGUGAACAACAUGCUGAUGGUUUUAACUGCCUUAAAGGAUACAGCUCAGGGGCACUGAGAGCAGCCCUUAUGGUCGUCAUUGUCACCAAGACUUCCUUGUCUUCCCAGACCCCAACUUUGUCCCUUUUACACCAAGCACUGUCUCACCAGCCACCAGAUGCUGGCAACCUCUGUUGUCUGUCUCUACCUGUCUGACCCACCUUGGCACCUCAUGUCAGUGGAUCAUACAUCCAUUGAUCUUUCUGUGAUUGGUUUGUUUUCUGGAACAUGGUGUGCACAAGUGUUAAUGAAAUGGCACACAUCAGCAUGUACUCCAUUUUUGAGACUAUAUAAUAUUUCUUUUGUGGGUUUCAGUUAUUCAUAGAGAAACACUAGCCAUCUCCAUCCUUUUGAUAUAGUGAAAAUGAAUGCUAUGUAUUGACAUGAAUGUACAUGUGCUGUAUCUGUUGGAUUCUUUUGAUUCAUACAUAUAUAGCCACGAUGUACCACAAUGCCCAAACUGUGUAAUUGCUGGAUAAAAUGGCAAUUCUGUUUAAUGUAUAUAUAUAUAUAUGCAUAUGUGUGCA